RNAcentral lists this non-coding RNA (22 nucleotides) under Arabidopsis thaliana (thale cress). Lineage: Eukaryota; Viridiplantae; Streptophyta; Magnoliopsida; Brassicales; Brassicaceae. The record is from RNAcentral.
UGGACUCAUCAUACCUGAGGAC